AUGAUAGAAGGAGACAGAUUAAGAAAUAGUGUUAGUUAGGUUGUUAGGGUGAGUAAGGUUGGUUUCCUUUAUAUAGUUAGAGGGUCCUGGAAUGGGAGGGGACUUUUUGGAUAAUUUUGUAGAUUGAGCUUUAGCUCUUUGUGAAGGGGAAACCCUUGGAGGAAAGAGUGCUCUCCUAUUUUGUGUUCUAUACAGUCUAUACAAUAAAGAAUAUUACUCUUUUGUCUCUUUUCAAUUCUGGUUUCCUAACAAAAUUGGUCCGACCUGCCAGAUCCCCUGGGAGAGGAGCGUGAUGGAAGGAAGAGCCACUACCUUAUAGAGGAGAAUGAAUUCGCUAGAGACCGUUGUAGAGGAACUGGAGGCGAAGACUAGGGAGAUGCACCAAGAACUUAAAGAAAUCACCAGAAUUCUUGGAAGAAGAACUAGCAACCAGGACAGGAGUUUAGAAAGAAGUGAGAAAUCUAUCAUGAAAGGAAAGAAAGAGGGAAAAACAGGUAGGGAUGCUGUGAAAGACAGUCUGCAAAACAACAAGAAAGGCAAGAAAUUCUCUAAAGAAGGAGAGUACUUGGCUAAUGAUGAAGAGAAGAAGGAAGAAAGAUAUCCACAGAGCAGUAAAGCAAAUGAACCACUUUUCCCAUGGGUUGAAAGAGUGGAGUUGUCCACGUUCAAAGGGAAUGGCACCCAGGGUCAAACAACAAGGGCAGCAGAUGUUUUUGAAGUUCAGAACAUCAAAGGAUCAACAAAGGUACACCCAACAGUCAAUAACAUGGAAGAAAAUGCAGUCCAAGGAUUCAAGACCUGGCAAAAAAAAUCCAAGAACCUUUCUUGGUAAGAUCUUCCUAAAGGUCACUGUAGGAGUUGUAGGGGCAGAGAAUGCAACACCACUUUUGAAAAGUGUGGGGGUAGAAAACAGAGUGCCAUUGUUGGAAAAUGGGCAACAAUUAAAAAAGAAAGGGUGGAAGAUUACAUUCAAGAAUUUAAAAUGGGAAAAAACAAUAGGGGUGAAUUUUAUUAUGCUACUGAUGUGCCUUAGUAAUAAUACGCAACAUGAUAGUUUAUGGGACAUGGAUAUUCUUUAUAUGCAUAAAGAUAUUGGCAUUCUUGAGGAGGUAGGGGAAAAUGCACGGAGAGUUUUACUUGAGAGUUUGACAGCAGUAAAAUGGACUAGGAGUGGGGAAAAAUUCAUCCAAGAAUUCAAGAUAUUGAUGUCACAAGCAAAUAAAACACCAGAAGAUCAAUUGCAGGGAUUUUUCUUUGCAGGGCUGCAAUCUAACAUUCACAAUUGGUUGCCACAUCAGGAUCUAAAGAACUUGAUUAGAGAUUCACAAAGUGCUCUAAUUGUGGGAGAAAGGCCAGCAAUGAAGAAUCAAACUCCCUGUAGGGAAGAAAAAACCAAAACAGAAGGGAGAUUUUGUACAGAAAAAUAUAGUAUGAUGGAGGAGGAAGGAGAUGCAACCAUAAAGAGAGUUGAAGAUGGAGAUGCAGCCAAGCAACAAUUUUUCCCAAAAUCAGGUUUACUUAAUGUGAAUAAGAAUUCAUGGCUGAACUUAGAUGUGAUCAUGAUUGGAACAUCAAUGACUUUGGAAUUUAGGGAUUCCAAAUUACUAGGUUCAGAAUAUGGUAUACAAAAACUACACUCAUAUCAACCACCACCCAAGCCUCUAGAUCUGAAAUUGCAGGCAGCAGCCAGUGGGAUCCCUUCCGAAUAUAAGACAAUAUCCCACUGUCAUGGGAUCAAGCUUCACUGUACCAACCUUGAGGACAAGGUUGUUCUGCGGCGGUGUGUAAUAGUAUUAGUUAGGUUGUUAAGGUGAGUGAUGUUGGUUUCCUUUUAUAUAGUUAGAGGGUCCUGGAAUGGGGGGACUUUAUGGAUAAUUCUGUAGAUUGAGCUUUAGCUCUUUGUGAAGGGAAAACCCUUGGAGGAGAGAGUGUUCUCCUAUUUUGUGUUCUAUACAAUUUAUACAAUAAAGAAUAUUACUCUUUUGUCUCUUUUC
RNAcentral lists this long non-coding RNA (1994 nucleotides) under Vigna radiata. Its description in RNAcentral is "long non-coding RNA (VRAD_LNC013477)". The record is from RNAcentral. Lineage: Eukaryota; Viridiplantae; Streptophyta; Magnoliopsida; Fabales; Fabaceae.